GAUGAAGAACGUAGCGAAAUGCGAUAAGUAGUGUGAAUUGCAGAAUUCAGUGAAUCAUCGAAUCUUUGAACGCACAUUGCGCCCCUUGGUAUUCCAUGGGGCAUGCCUGUUCGAGCGUCAUUUCAACCAUCAAGCCCCCGGGCUUGUGUUGGGGACCUGCGGCUGCCGCAGGCCCUGAAAAGCAGUGGCGGGCUCGCUGUCACACCGAGCGUAGUAGCAUACAUCUCGCUCUGGGCGUGCUGCGGGUUCCGGCCGUUAAACCACCUUUUAACCCAAGGUUGACCUCGGAUCAGGUAGGAAGACCCGCUGAACUUAAGCAUAUCAAUAAGCGGAGGA
Molecule: unclassified non-coding RNA, 336 nt
Filed under: soil metagenome
Description: partial contains 5.8S ribosomal RNA, internal transcribed spacer 2, and large subunit ribosomal RNA
Rfam family: 5.8S ribosomal RNA (bases 1-120)
Source: RNAcentral